CUCUAUUAACAGUAUGUCAGUUGAAACCAGAACACUGCCUCUCAUACUUUUAUAUGUGACACAGCUGGGACACAGCUAAAAUCCAGUAGACAGGAGAACUCUUGAUGUACCAGAUGGAAAACUUGGAGACAUAAUUAAGGAGUAAACAGUAUCCAGAAACUCAAAUCAGACCAAGUAACUUCUUAAGAGUUUUGGAAUACAAACAGGACUCAGUGGAACACGCACAUGAGAAGAGCACAGUAGCCUGGCAUUCAAAUAGAACAGUUGAUGCUCAUUCACAGACUGCUCCAUCUUCACUUUUAAGACUUUAAAUGUAUGAGAAGCUGACUGACUUAGAUGACAGUAAGGUGAGUCUUCUAUAUGCUGCUCCUUGAGUUGAAAUGCUAGUACAUAUGCAGCAAAGAAAACAACUUGCAACCAUCUUUCCCAGUGACAGCAUAUUUCAAAGACGGUUAAAGGACAAAUGAGAGAUUCAAAAUUAGCAGCAAUGUAUAAUAAUGAGUGUGGCUCUCUGCCCAGAUUUCUGCCAUAAACUUAAUUGAUUUUGGUAGUUAUAAUAACACUUUGCAACUAUAGCACUUUCACUGCCAUUUUGAGUGGAAUAAGAAAACACAUUCUCUCUCUCACGUACACAAAAAAGAAUUACUGGUGGAGGCACAUAUUCAUGCACACAUCUGUGUGCACGUGUAUGUGUGUAUAUGUGUGCAUGGAGAAGCAUACAAUGAUACAGGUACAGACAUUCCUAAAAUUCUACUGACAGAGUUGAAGUACACUCCAGGAUAGAUGUAAGAUCAGUAUCCAAGAACGUACUGAGGUACACUCUGUUCCCAUCCUGCAGCUUUUGCUCCCACCUGUUACCUCAGCUCAGUCAUUAAUCUCAUUGUUCUGAAUGUGUGCAAAUAUUGUAAACAGGCAGCUAAGGAAGGAAUGUUCCCCAGUCUCCCCUAGGCUAAUUAGAACAGGUAUGUGAAUACUGAGAACAAUACAGUAAAUGAAAUGGCUGUACACACAAACAAAGCAAAAGCUUAAAAUGAAUGUAGUGGCAGCUGUGUUUGCAAUUGUGAUAUUCACAGAUGUUCUAACAUAACAUCACAGAAAUCAAGAAACUAAUCAUUAAACAAUUGUUUUAAGAGUGAAAACAUCAUUUAAAAUUAUUUAUUAAAUACUAUUAAAUCAGAGAACAACACAGUACAGAAAAAUAAAGAGUGGAAAAUGAGUAUAGAACAAUAGAAAAGAGAAAAAGGUUAAUAUACAUGUGACACAGUUACAUGGGUUCAAUGUUUCAGUUGCUUCUGUUCAUUGUUUUGACAUCCACGUGUUUCUAAUCUAAGCACGGUUAAUGUUUCAGAAAAUUCUGGUUGAGACAAUCAAAGAAGAAUAGUUUAGUGCAUGGGUACAAUAACACUUUAAAUAUAUCCAUCUCCCUCACAAAAAUAAUAAAUAUCUUUUCAUCACUGAGGCCCUGUAUCUACCUAAUUAAAAAAAAAGAAAAAAAAAAAGAAAAAGAAAGUAAGUCAUAUGCUUUUCUAUUUUACAGGUGCUGUUCUAUACAGAAUGGUCAUAGAAGCUCAAUGAGGAAACUAAUAUUAGAUUACAAAAUUUUGUCUUUUAAAAAUGAGAUGAAUGACACCUUCAUUUCAAACUUUCAAAACUGACAUUGUUAACUGAAUCAGUUACAGACAAGUGAGCAAUUACUACAGAGAAACAGUAGGAGUGAAUUUACCAUCCACACAGUGAAAAAAGGAAAAAUAUAAUAUACAUCAGUCUAUGUAUCUGCCCUGUAGGAUUUUUCUAAUAAACCUUUUUUUUUUUUUUUUUUUCCAGUUCUCUUAGAAAGUCAAGUCCUGAAAAUUCUAAAUGACUAAUAUGUUAAUAAAGUACAUCCUUCAUCUUUAAGGAUCUUUAUUUUACGUGCAAAUAAAAACUUUGCUCUGCUUUCUUUGAAUGCAAUUCGUACCCCUUUCCAAAAUGAAAAAUGACUGAACAGAACUCAAAAUUUUUAUAACAGUAUGCAAAUUAAAUAUUUUGGCUGUUUUCCAAUACCUUAAAAAUUACAUUUUGGAAGGAAUGCUUUUCCAAUGAAAGGAUUAUAAGUAAUUUUCAGUAAAAAAAAAAAAAAAAAAAAAAGGAAUCUUGGUGAGCUAGGGCAUUCACUGCAUGUAUACUGCAUUGACAGUUUUCAGUGAUUUCAGGUUUUCUUACAGAAAGUAUUUUCUACUAAAUUUUAUUUUUCUCCCUUUCAACAGCUUUUGAAAUACCAUUAUCAAUUUAGUAUUUUCUGGAUGAGAAAAAAUGUGUAAAAGGAAAAUAUAAUUCACAGUAUCUAGUUUCUCUCUAGAUUUUCAAGUUUUUGAUGCUGAAUUCCAGAAUAAAGGAAUAACUCAAGAACAGGAAGAACCAAAAAUAAUUUUAGCUUUGAAGAGUUUAAUUUACAGGAAAAGGAGGUUUUGAGUCAGACUCAUAUCUGAUGUUGUUUUAUAAAAAAUGUAUCCAUUCCAGAUUUUGCAAAACAUAUUCUCAUGUCAAAGUGCAUUCUUUAAUCUGCAUUUAUAAGUAAUGAUUUUGUUUAAUUAUACAGAGCAGGAGUUGUACAUUACCAUACUGAAUAUGUCAUUAGAAUAGUUUUUAUUCUAAGUUAUUUUUUAAUGGCAUUUGGUUGCUUAAGUGUAAAAAAUGAGAAUACAAAUAUAACACAUCCUUUUUUUCUACAUUAUCAUGAUGACUGCUAAAUUAAUAUAAAUAAUUAAUUUAUACAGAAAGUUAUCCAUAAGCAGCAUAUAAACAAUGCUGCCACUGAUGCUUAAUUGAAAAAGAGAGAUGCAAACAAUUCUUUGAUCUUUGCCAAAGAGAAGACUCAAGAAAACGGAUCCACUUCCUAUGACAGAAAGAAGUCAACCAAACAACGAAUCACAAAGAAGAGAGGGACCACAAGCAAAUUAAUAAACAAAAAAAACCAAGAGAUCAAAAUUAUUCUGGCACCUGUAAAAUCACUCUGGCAAGGGAUCUGAAUAUGAGUGCAGAAAGAAGCAAAACAGAAGAAAUCAGUAUCUUAUGAAACAUGAAAAAUAAGAAAGUUGAGAGUUGAAGGACUCCUAUGAAAAUAAUUCCUUGCUAUUAUUUAUUUGUUUUUCUAGAUUUUGUAUUACUUGCUCUUUGUAAAAAUUACAGUAGUAAACAUAGUAAGAAAUUAAUCAUUGUUAGGGCAAUAUUUAUAUAAAUUUGACAGAGUAGCUUAGGUAAAGACCAGAAUAUAUUUUACUGAGAUUAAGUACUAAUACGAUAAUUGUAGUUUUUAGGCACUUCAGGAAGUUUAAAGUUCUAGCUGGAGGAUGAUUAAUUCAGCCCCUAGCUAACAAGGUACAGUUUCCUUAGUGUCUCUGAACAUCAUAGUCCAGCAGAGGUGAGAACAAAAGUAGAUUCAAUUUCAAAGCCACUUUAUGAGAAGUGACUUCUACUUAAAAAUAUCUUGGUAAACUGAGAGGUUAUUACAUAAAUCCUCACUAUGCCAGUGUCUUGUACUUGGAAGACUAGAACCACAUAAACUUCCUUCACACAUAUUCAGUAAGGCAGCAUGCUACAGGAGAAAAAAAAUCUGAUUUGGUAUCAAUCUUCAGCUUCCAUUCUUUCAGCUUCAGGUAUUUAGACAUGUUGAACUGAGGUGCCCUGCAGAAGUUAAAUGAAAAGACAAAUGUGGAUAGGUUGUUCAGCAAUACAGGUGAAAGGCUACACUUUAAUUUGGCAAAAUAUGUUUAAAUUAGGCCUUAUAAUAGGUAGGUUCCCCAUUAUUUUGUGCCAUUAACUUGGUUUUAGAGAAUACUUUAAAACGCCUUUACUUGUUAAAUCUUUCACAGCCAGCUGAUUGUCUCCCUAACAGAAAAUGAGAAGAAAAAUGUCAAGAAGAGCAAGGAUUAUCUUAACCUUGUACUACACUGAUCAGAACUCUGCUCGAAGUCAAUGAUUGCAAAACUUGUUCAGAAUAACCUGAUGAUUCAGUCUCCCAGAAUGCUAAUCUUCGAAAUCAUUGCAGCAAGAGACAAGAGGUUUAAAGCCACAUUCAAUUGUAAUGAGAUCCGUCAUUAAAGGCAGAUCACAGUCCAUUGACAUGCCUAACUUGUAAUUACUUUUACUUUAAUAUUUUCAUUAGCACAAGAAUUUAGAAUCAUUAUUCUGUCUUUAUAUUUUGCCUAUUAUUUUCAUUUUAUUCUAAUAACAAACUUGUUAAUAAAGCUCUCAGUUUUCUGC
This is a long non-coding RNA of Gallus gallus (chicken), 4242 nucleotides long. The record is from Ensembl. NCBI's taxonomy places the organism in Eukaryota, Metazoa, Chordata, Aves, Galliformes, Phasianidae.